UUUAUGUUUUGCACAAGUUCUAGACUCUUUUCUCUAUAUUUGCUUAGGUAUAGUGAUUAGAAAAAGACAACUUAGAGAUAAAUUGCUUUCUUGAUUUGUAUGUAGUGUUUAUACUAUCUUAUGAGUGAGUUUUUCUUAUUUGUGAUUGGAAUGAGCAAGUUCACUUUAAUGUUGGAGUUCAAGCGCUAAGGCUCCCAUAUAAGAUAUAUAUGAAAAAUCACGUUGUUGCAAUCUUUGAAGUGUGCAAUAUAGCUCUUGCUUCCAGUUGACAUGAAGUCUUCCAAAGUAAGUAAAGUUCACCAUCAUCCAUACUUUACCUUAGCCUCUAUUUUGAACCUAUGAAGGUUUUUUAUGUUCAUGCUUCUAUUGACUAAUUUUUAUGAUACAUGAGCAGUCUUCAUCUGGCUUUAUGCCUCUUUUCUCGCUUCCUCUUAGCUGGCAUGAACUUUUGAUGAGAGGAAUAGCUAUGUCUUGGUGGUGCUAUAUUGAUUACAAUAGUGAUUUCUUCUUAGAAAGAAAAAACCUGUGAUUGUAGCCUUUUAAUGGUUAAAUAUGGUGGAUAUUUCAUUCUAUGAAAAAAAAAAGGUUUGGUGAAUAUCUCACUGUUCAGACCUCUUUUUAACGAAGAGUUUCUAGGUGUUCUGCAUUAUUUGAUACUAUUAGAGUGUGUGAGAGAGAGAGAGGGAGAGUAUGAAAUCAGAAUACACGUCUUUAUCCGUAAUUAGGCAAAUUAUAAUGAUGUUUCUUUUGUACUAUUUCCUUAUCUUACACAUAAAUUUAUGAAAAUAGCUCUUUUGUUUGUUGUGACUUCAAGCAUGAUGAUUCUACUUUAUUUCUUUUAGCCCAUGAUUACUGAAGUUUGUGAUGACACAGAGGCUGCUAAUUAAGCUGAAACUUAGCAUUUGCAUUUUGUUUUCCUAUUUCUGUGUUUCAAGCUUACUUCAUGAUCAGUACCACUACUUUUUUCUUUGUUGGAGAGAUUUUGGUGUACUGAAAAAAAUGUUACUUCAUCAUAUAGAUGGGAUUUUAAGACUUUAAUAAACUAAAGAAGACGGAAAUAACCAAAGGGAAGCUUGAAUUUAGAAGCAUUGGGUUUACAUUGACAAUUCAAUCUUGUGAAUCAAAAUUUAAAAUUUGCUACGAUUUCUGUGUAGUUGCGUAAAUUUUAGAAAAACAGUUUCAUACCAAGUUCCUGCUUCACCAUUGUGUCUUCCUUAUUUCUUACCUUUUACGAAAUUCUUCCUUUAAAUUUUGUGGAUAACUGCAAAUUUCAACCUUUGGCUAUCUUUUGUAAUGCAGGUUCAAAUAUUUUGUCAAAUUGAAAAAAAGGACUUAUGACAACAAAGGUUUAUAGAGUGGUCACAUUUCAAAAGGGAUCGUCUUCUUUUGUCCAUUAUGUAAAUGGGUUCUCUCAUUGUGGAUGAAGAAUUGAGUGCUGCUGAGUGGGAAAAAAUGGCGCUUCUUUCAGUAUAAAAACGGAUUGUAUUACUUUUGAGGUAACUGGAUAUAAAUCGUUCCUUACUGCCAUAAAAACGCUUCCUUUUUUAUUUUAUGAAUUUUGGGUAUCAAUUUGAGUUUUUUUUUUUCUGAUAUGUUGUAUCUUCUUCUUACAUAUUCAUGGAUUUUCUUUUCCCGAGUUUGUUACCUAUUAGGACCUGCAUGCUCUGAUUUGUGACAACUUCCCAUUCAUCUUCCAGUUAGAGAAUCAGUUUAUCUUUGCUACCGUUUGCUUCAAGAGUUGAGUGAGAAAAAUUCCUCAGUUGAUUCUUGAGUUCCAUAAGGCGUGAUCGAGUAAUUGCCCUAUGAGAAUAUGCAUUCUUUUUAUUUGAUUGGUAAUUUUCUUCUCACCUACAGAAGAAGAUAAAUCUAAAAUAGUGAGAUUCUUCUUCUCUCUUUUCUAUUUUGCUUUCUUCUGAGUACUUUGGUAAUAUAUACGAGUCAUAUAAAUGAUUCUAACUACUACAUAUUCAUCUAACAUGUUUGAUUAUAUGUCUGAAUGCAUAUAAAAUUGCUUUCGCGUGGAAUAAAAAGGCAUAGUACAAUGGAAGUGAAGAGCAUUAUAGGAUCUGAAGGAGGAAGAGUAGGGGAAUUGAAAAGGACGUGGCUGAGUAGCUAAUCUCUUCGAGUCCACGUGUUUUUUUACAGGUACCUCAGACGUCUCCAUAUAGUGUGGUUUGGAAUGAAAGAGGCUAACUACUAAGCUUGGGACUAUAACUCAUGCUCGGUGGGAAUGAUGAAUUUGGAUGUACUUGUUAUGUGUGCUUGAAGAUACAAUGUAUUUAGGUGUUCUGCACAUAUUAUCGAUAAAAGUAUCUACUAUGCACAAUGAUAUACAAAAAAGUUUUUGGGUUAUGGUAUCUACUUCCCACAUUAAUAACUCAUGGCUUCCAGAUUUUGUCAUUGCAUUGAUGUGAAAGUUGUAAUUUUGGAUAUAUACUUAAGUGGUUUACCAUUGGCAAUGGUAAUUUGAGAUAAUGAUGUUUACUAUUUUCCAGAGUGGUAUAGUGUUUUAGCUUUUAGCUAGAUGUAUUACAGUUUGGGAUGAUAUUGUGCAGAUCCUAAAUAAAGAAGUAUUCCCCUUACA
Long non-coding RNA from Lycium barbarum (goji berry), 2584 nucleotides. RefSeq lists it as uncharacterized. The record is from RefSeq and is a predicted model, not a curated record. The transcript has 3 exons. Lineage: Eukaryota; Viridiplantae; Streptophyta; Magnoliopsida; Solanales; Solanaceae.